RNAcentral lists this ribosomal RNA (399 nucleotides) under uncultured bacterium. RNAcentral describes it as "partial 16S ribosomal RNA". It matches the Rfam family "Bacterial small subunit ribosomal RNA", at positions 338 to 734 of the family's 1533-position model. The record is from RNAcentral.
CCUACGGGUGGCAGCAGUGAGGAAUAUUGGUCAAUGGACGAGAGCCUGAACCAGCCAAGUAGCGUGAAGGAUGACUGCCCUACGGGUUGUAAACUUCUUUUAUAAAGGAAUAAAACGAGGCACGUGUGCCUUUUUGCAUGUACUUUAUGAAUAAGGAUCGGCUAACUCCGUGCCAGCAGCCGCGGUAAUACGGAGGAUGCGAGCGUUAUUCGGAAUUAUUGGGCGUAAAGCGCUCGUAGGCGGUAUGUCAAGUCAAGUGUGAAAUUCACGGGCUCGACGUUGGAAGUGCCGUUGAAACUGGCAAACUGGAGUGUGUGAGAGGAUAGUGGAAUUCCAGGUGUAGCAGUGAAAUCCGUAGAUAUCUGGAGGAACAUCAGUGGCGAAGGCGACUAUCUGGCA